AGCUUUGUGCAGUGGCAAUAUCGUAGCCAAUGAGGUGUACCCGAGGCGCGAUUAUUGCUAAUUGAAAAAAAAAAAAAGCGCAUAGAGAGCCUCAUCUUUCUCCUGAGGAGUGGCUAGUGGUUUCAAACUGCUGACCUUGCAG
This is a small nuclear RNA of Echinops telfairi (small Madagascar hedgehog), 142 nucleotides long. Its record names the gene U4. It matches the Rfam family "U4 spliceosomal RNA". Rfam says of the family: U4 small nuclear RNA (U4 snRNA) is a component of the major U2-dependent spliceosome. Lineage: Eukaryota; Metazoa; Chordata; Mammalia; Afrosoricida; Tenrecidae. The record is from Ensembl.